UACAGAGGUCCCAAGCGUUGUUCGGAUUCACUGGGCGUAAAGGGUGCGUAGGUGGUCAGGUAAGUCUGAUGUGAAAUCUCUGAGCUCAACUCAGAAAUGGCAUUGGAUACUAUCUGGCUAGAGGGUCGGAGGGGGGACUGGAAUUCUCGGUGUAGCAGUGAAAUGCGUAGAUAUCGAGAGGAACACCAGUGGCGAAGGCGAGUCCCUGGACAAUACCUGACACUGAGGCACGAAAGCUAGGGGAGCAAACAGG
This 253-nucleotide ribosomal RNA is filed under the name uncultured bacterium. Its description in RNAcentral is "partial 16S ribosomal RNA". It matches the Rfam family "Bacterial small subunit ribosomal RNA", at positions 524 to 776 of the family's 1533-position model. The record is from RNAcentral.